GUAAUCUGCCCUUGGCUUUGGGAUAACACCGGAAACGUGGCUAAUACCGGAUAUGACGGGCUCCGGCAUCGGGGUUCGUGGAAAGUUUUUUCGGCCAGGGAUGUGCUCGCGGCCUAUCAGCUUGUUGGUGGGGUAAUGGCCUACCAAGGCUUCGACGGGUAGCCGGCCUGAGAGGGUGACCGGCCACACCGGGACUGAGACACGGCCCAGACUCCUACGGGAGGCAGCAGUGGGGAAUAUUGGACAAUGGGCGGAAGCCUGAUCCAGCAACGCCGCGUGAGGGAUGACGGCCUUCGGGUUGUAAACCUCUUUCAGUACCGACGAAGCGCCGAUGAUGGUGGUGACGGUAGGUACAGAAGAAGCACCGGCCAACUACGUG
RNAcentral lists this ribosomal RNA (379 nucleotides) under uncultured bacterium. RNAcentral's name for it is "bacterial SSU rRNA". It matches the Rfam family "Bacterial small subunit ribosomal RNA", at positions 121 to 507 of the family's 1533-position model. The record is from RNAcentral.